This 490-nucleotide ribosomal RNA is filed under the name uncultured bacterium. RNAcentral describes it as "partial 16S ribosomal RNA". It matches the Rfam family "Bacterial small subunit ribosomal RNA", at positions 29 to 507 of the family's 1533-position model. The record is from RNAcentral.
AGUGAACGCUGGCGGCAGGCCUAAUACAUGCAAGUCGAACGGCAGCACAGCAGAGCUUGCUCUGUGGGUGGCGAGUGGCGGACGGGUGAGGAAUACAUGGGAAUCUGCCCAGUCGUGGGGGAUAACGUAUGGAAACGUACGCUAAUACCGCAUGCGCCCUUUGGGGGAAAGCCGGGGACCUUCGGGCCUGGCGCGAUUGGAUGAGCCCAUGUUCGAUUAGCUAGUUGGCGGGGUAAAGGCCCACCAAGGCGACGAUCGAUAGCUGGUCUGAGAGGAUGAUCAGCCACACUGGGACUGAGACACGGCCCAGACUCCUACGGGAGGCAGCAGUAGGGAAUAUUGGACAAUGGGCGCAAGCCUGAUCCAGCCAUACCGCGUGAGUGAAGAAGGCCCUCGGGUUGUAAAGCUCUUUUGUCCGGAAAGAAAAGCAUUCGGUUAAUACCCGGGUGUUCUGACGGUACCGGAAGAAUAAGCACCGGCUAACUUCGUG